UGUAGCUACGCCACUGCUACUACUAAAUCUUUAAUAUAUACCCUCAGUUACAUUUACUUAGAUGUUCUACUUCGUGUUUUCACCAACGUUUGGUACCAGGCGACUAUAACGCGCAUCAUUGUGUACAAUGAAUGACGAAUAAAGCUAAUUGGCAACGUCGCAGCUGCUCCCGCUCGCUUCAUUACGGCUGGAAUAAUCGUAGAACUCCGCCCCAAUUUCCUAGACGAAGCAGCAGUUUUAGCUAAGGAGCGCGACACCCUACGCCGUGGCGAUCUCUUUGAUCUCCGAAUAUAUGAUCUCAGUUUGGAGAUUCGGCAAAUGGUAAACUGGCAUAAGCGAAUAAAAUCGAUAGAUCACCUGAAGUCUCACGACCAAACCCGAACAGACAUGAUGACCAAGUUGAAACUCAAUUCAAUGACCAUGCCUCUUCGGACUCAAAGAAGUGUGCAAUAUAUUUUAGCCGACAACUCACACUGCACCCUUCGGUAAACAAAUUUAAGCAACGGCUGUGUAAAAUGCCAAAAUAGGCUAUGUUCGUAAAUGCAUCAUGACGCGCAUCAUGACGAUUCCAUAACAAACAGAACGUUCAGAAAUGCCAAUAUUGCAGCACUGCAAUAAUCAAGCGUUCAAAAAGACAACACUUCUAUCAGCUGUCACUCAUAAUUUCUUUCAAAAAAUUGUUUACUGCAUUUAACUACGAUGUCUGACGAAAAAAAAUCUCAGUAAUGCGGAGACACAGUUAUUGCUGAGAGUACGGUUGAAUAUGGAGGACGAGAAGGAAAAAAAUGUAUUAUGGAAGAAAGUUGUGACCGAAGUUAAAAAUGUAAAUCCACAUAUAAGACUUGACAGCACCACUGCGCAGAGAAAAUUCUUAAAUCUUUUGGUAACGUACAAGCGCAUUAAGAAAAGAAAUAAUUCUUCCGGUCGAGAAGCUACAUACUGGAGGUAUGGUACAAGGCACUCAAUUACUCCACCAAUAGCAAAUUUGCAAGCCUCUUUGGAUUUGGUACUGUCAACAUCGCCCACACGACUUUAUUGUUUUAAUAAAUGAUUUCUUCAA
Bactrocera dorsalis (oriental fruit fly) is the source of this 1060-nucleotide long non-coding RNA. RefSeq lists it as uncharacterized. Lineage: Eukaryota; Metazoa; Arthropoda; Insecta; Diptera; Tephritidae. The record is from RefSeq and is a predicted model, not a curated record. The transcript is spliced from 2 exons.